GACGAACGCUGGCGGCGUGCUUAACACAUGCAAGUCGAACGGGCCCGCCCCUGUUUUUGGGGGUGGGUUGAGUGGCGAACGGGUGAGUAUCACGUGAGUAACCUGCCCCCUGCUCCUGGAUAACUGCUUGAAAGGGCGGCUAAUACGGGGUGUGCCGGCUGGUCCGCAUGGGCCUGGUCGGGAUAGUUUCAUCUUCGGGUGUUUCGGUGGGGGAUGGGCUCGCGGCCUAUCAGCUUGUUGGUGGGGUGAUGGCCCACCAAGGCGGUGACGGGUAGCCGGCCUGAGAGGGUGGGCGGCCACACUGGGACUGAGACACGGCCCAGACUCCUGCGGGAGGCAGCAGUGGGGGGUAUUGCACAAUGGGCGGAAGCCUGAUGCAGCGACGUCGCGUGAGGGAUGGAGGCCUUCGGGUUGUGAACCUCUUUCUCCGGUGGUGGAGGCCCUGUCCGUUGCGGCGGGGUUGACGGUAGCCGGGUAUGAAGCGCCGGCUAACUACGUG
This 499-nucleotide ribosomal RNA is filed under the name uncultured bacterium. RNAcentral's name for it is "partial 16S ribosomal RNA". It matches the Rfam family "Bacterial small subunit ribosomal RNA", at positions 28 to 507 of the family's 1533-position model. The record is from RNAcentral.